RNAcentral lists this ribosomal RNA (370 nucleotides) under uncultured prokaryote. RNAcentral describes it as "bacterial SSU rRNA". It matches the Rfam family "Bacterial small subunit ribosomal RNA", at positions 524 to 896 of the family's 1533-position model. The record is from RNAcentral.
UACGAAGGGUCCUAGCGUUGUUCGGAAUUACUGGGCGUAAAGGGCGCGUAGGCGGCCUAUUAAGUCAGGUGUGAAAGCCCCGAGCUUAACUUGGGAACUGCACUUGAUACUGGUAGGCUAGAGAUCGGAAGAGGUGAGUGGAAUUCCUAGUGUAGAGGUGAAAUUCGUAGAUAUUAGGAAGAACACCAGUGGCGAAGGCGGCUCACUGGUCCGAUACUGACGCUAAGGCGCGAAAGCGUGGGGAGCAAACAGGAUUAGAUACCCUGGUAGUCCACGCCCUAAACGAUGAGUGCUAGAUGUUGGGGGGUAACCCUCGGUGUCGUAGCUAACGCGUUAAGCACUCCGCCUGAGGAGUACGGUCGCAAGAUUA